Molecule: ribosomal RNA, 253 nt
Filed under: uncultured bacterium
Lineage: Bacteria
Description: partial 16S ribosomal RNA
Rfam family: Bacterial small subunit ribosomal RNA
Source: RNAcentral
UACGUAGGGCGCAAGCGUUAUCCGGAAUUAUUGGGCGUAAAGAGCUCGUAGGCGGUUUGUCGCGUCUGCCGUGAAAGUCCGGGGCUCAACUCCGGAUCUGCGGUGGGUACGGGCAGACUAGAGUGAUGUAGGGGAGACUGGAAUUCCUGGUGUAGCGGUGAAAUGCGCAGAUAUCGGGAGGAACACCAGUAGCGAAGGCGGCACUCUGGGCCGUGACUGACGCUGAGGAGCGAAAGCGUGGGUAGCAAACAGG